This 489-nucleotide ribosomal RNA is filed under the name uncultured Alteromonas sp. RNAcentral describes it as "bacterial SSU rRNA". It matches the Rfam family "Bacterial small subunit ribosomal RNA", at positions 8 to 494 of the family's 1533-position model. Lineage: Bacteria; Pseudomonadati; Pseudomonadota; Gammaproteobacteria; Alteromonadales; Alteromonadaceae. The record is from RNAcentral.
AGAGUUUGAUCCUGGCUCAGAUUGAACGCUGGCGGCAGGCCUAACACAUGCAAGUCGAACGGUAACAUUUCUAGCUUGCUAGAAGAUGACGAGUGGCGGACGGGUGAGUAAUGCUUGGGAACUUGCCUUUGCGAGGGGGAUAACAGUUGGAAACGACUGCUAAUACCGCAUAAUGUCUUCGGACCAAACGGGGCUUCGGCUCCGGCGCAAAGAGAGGCCCAAGUGAGAUUAGCUAGUUGGUAAGGUAACGGCUUACCAAGGCGACGAUCUCUAGCUGUUCUGAGAGGAAGAUCAGCCACACUGGGACUGAGACACGGCCCAGACUCCUACGGGAGGCAGCAGUGGGGAAUAUUGCACAAUGGGGGAAACCCUGAUGCAGCCAUGCCGCGUGUGUGAAGAAGGCCUUCGGGUUGUAAAGCACUUUCAGUUGUGAGGAAAAGUUAGUAGUUAAUACCUGCUAGCCGUGACGUUAACAACAGAAGAAGCACC